Molecule: unclassified non-coding RNA, 299 nt
Organism: Callithrix jacchus (white-tufted-ear marmoset)
Lineage: Eukaryota; Metazoa; Chordata; Mammalia; Primates; Cebidae
Rfam family: Metazoan signal recognition particle RNA
About the family: The signal recognition particle (SRP) is a universally conserved ribonucleoprotein. It is involved in the co-translational targeting of proteins to membranes. The eukaryotic SRP consists of a 300-nucleotide 7S RNA and six proteins: SRPs 72, 68, 54, 19, 14, and 9.
Source: Ensembl
GCCGGGCGCGGUGGCGUGUGCCUGUGGUCCCAGCUACUCGGGAGGCCCAGGCGGGAGGAUCGCUUGAGCCCAGGAGUUCUGGGCUGUAGUGCGCUGUGCCGAUCAGGUGUCUGCACUAAGUUCUGCAUCAAUAUGGUGACCUCCCGGGAGCAGGGACCAUCAGGUUGCCUAAGGAGGGGUGAACCGGCCCAGGUUGGAAACGGAGCAGGUCAAAACUCCUGUGCUGAUCAGUAGUGGGAUCUCACCUGUGAAUAGCCACUGCACUCCAGCCUGGGCAACAUAGCGAGACCCCAUCUCUA